RNAcentral lists this ribosomal RNA (421 nucleotides) under uncultured bacterium. RNAcentral's name for it is "partial 16S ribosomal RNA". It matches the Rfam family "Bacterial small subunit ribosomal RNA", at positions 360 to 773 of the family's 1533-position model. The record is from RNAcentral.
AAUAUUGGACAAUGGGCGAAAGCCUGAUCUAGCCAUGCCGCGAGUGUGAAGAAGGUCUUCGGUUUGUAAAGUACUUUAAGUUGGGAGGAAGGGCAGUAAGCACAUACCUUGCUGUUUUGACGUUACCGACAGAAUAAGCACCGGCUAACUCUGUGCCAGCAGCCGCGGUAAUACAGAGGGUGCCAGCGGUAAUCGGAAUUACUGGGCGGAACGCGCGGGUAGGUGGUUCGUUAAGUUGGAUGUGAAAUCCCCGGGCUAAACCUGGGAACUGCAUCCAAAACUGGCGAGCUAGAGUAGGGCAGAGGGUGGUGGAAUUUCCUGUGUAGCGGUGAAAUGCGUAGAUAUAGGAAGGAACACCAGUGGCGAAGGCGACCACCUGGGCUCAUACUGACACUGAGGUGCGAAAGCGUGGGGAGCAAAC